RNAcentral lists this ribosomal RNA (301 nucleotides) under uncultured bacterium. Its description in RNAcentral is "partial 16S ribosomal RNA". It matches the Rfam family "Bacterial small subunit ribosomal RNA", at positions 509 to 807 of the family's 1533-position model. The record is from RNAcentral.
CAGCCGCCACGGUAAUACGAAGGGUGCAAGCGUUAAUCGGAAUUACUGGGCGUAAAGCGUGCGUAGGCGGUGAGUUAAGUCUGCUGUGAAAUCCCCGGGCUCAACCUGGGAAUGGCAGUGGAUACUGGCUCGCUAGAGUGUGUCAGAGGAUGGUGGAAUUCCCGGUGUAGCGGUGAAAUGCGUAGAGAUCGGGAGGAACAUCAGUGGCGAAGGCGGCCAUCUGGGACAACACUGACGCUGAGGCACGAAAGCGUGGGGAGCAAACGGGAUUAGAUACCCGAGUAGUCCCUGUCUCUUAUAC